AUCCUUUUCCGUUUGAUAAGCAUGAUGAUUGGGUGUUCACGCAUUUGUGUGACAUGUGCCUCCCUUAAAUCUUGCUACACAUUUGGCAUAUUAGCCAUCUGAUG
This is a small nucleolar RNA of Sorex araneus (European shrew), 104 nucleotides long. NCBI's taxonomy places the organism in Eukaryota, Metazoa, Chordata, Mammalia, Eulipotyphla, Soricidae. The record is from Ensembl.